RNAcentral lists this long non-coding RNA (1065 nucleotides) under Equus caballus (horse). RNAcentral describes it as "lncRNA (ENSECAG00000056181.1)". The record is from RNAcentral. Lineage: Eukaryota; Metazoa; Chordata; Mammalia; Perissodactyla; Equidae.
GGUUAUCUCGGUGGGCCCAACAAUCUCAUUGCAAGGCUCCUUCAAGAGGAGGCAGGAGGAUCGAAGAAGAAGACAGAGAUGUGAUGAUGGAAGCGGAGGUUGGAGUGACGUGCGUUAAAGAUGGAGGAGGGGCUGCAAGCCAAGUCGUGCAGGCGGCCUCUAGAAGCUGGGAAAGGCAAGGAGACAGCUUCUUGCUUGGAGACCCCGGGAGAAGCGCAGCCCUGCCAACACCUUGAUUUUACACUUCUGGCCUCCGGAACCGCCGUGCCCGUCCCCUGCCCAUCAUGCCCUUCCAGCUGGCCUUUCAUCCCGCAGCGAACCUCUGUGUGUCCGGCUCAGAGUCUCCAUAAACCGCACCAUGGAGCUGGCCCGAAGGUUGUCAUCAGCAGUAAUUGCAGGCUUUCGACCCCACCCCGGGGACCCCCUUGCGCGGGGAGCCUUCGUUCUUGGACGCAUGGGUGGUAGACAGGCCUCUGCGCCGUCCCCAGGGCAUCACUAUCCUUGUGUCACCCUGCUUCCUUUGUCGUGAGCCAUGGACCAAGGCUCUGGGUGACUCGGCACCCGGUGCUCACAGUGUCUGUGAAACCAGAGCUCCAGAGAUCCCGGGAUGUGAUUCCAGUCCCGCGUCUGCCCCAGCUUCACUGAGGAGGGGGCCCCAGGAGGAAGUGGAGCAGCGGGGGUUCGGCCAUGUGCGUGGGACUCACGUGCUUGUUCCCGCGGGCCUCAUGGCUGGAGACAUCACUUCUACUUGCUUCUGGCUGCUCCUCUCUCCUGUUCUUGGGCGUGUGGCUUUCUUUUCUUCUUUGUGAGGAAGUGCUCUGGGAGGGAAGGAAAGUCACGGAGGGCUGUGGCAUGCCGUGGGCACGGGCCACUUCUCAAAGCCACCUGGGCGGCAGGCCUGGCUAGCCCAUCUUACAGAGGGGGAAACUGAGGCUGAGCUGCACAAUGAUGAGCAAGGGGGGCAUUGCUUCCGAGCUUGGCAGCCAGGAGACCUCCCCUCUGCCAUGAAGGCCCUGCUGCUGUCCCCUUGCUUUUCUGUGACAUGUGACGUUGAGAAGGCCAUGC